RNAcentral lists this long non-coding RNA (1369 nucleotides) under Elaeis guineensis (African oil palm). RNAcentral describes it as "long non-coding RNA (EGUI_LNC062099)". The record is from RNAcentral. Lineage: Eukaryota; Viridiplantae; Streptophyta; Magnoliopsida; Arecales; Arecaceae.
CCUCAAGCUGCACCCACAAUCAUGCGUGCUGCCCAAAGUGUCUAAUUUAACACCAAAGUUAUGUUGCCUUUUGGCUGUAAGCGUUGAAUCGUUUCUCUAAGAUCAAGGUGGUUUAUAGUUUGUCUUGCUAAGCAUCUAAUAUUCAAAUCUUUUUCUCCUCUUUUCAUCAUCCUCCUUGAUGAUGGAAUCACUUACCAUCCUCACCUAAGAAAGUUAUUAUCAGGAUAUUCUGCAUGAUAGAAAGCCAUAAUCGCAAUUGAUAUGGAUGAAGAAUUUUGCCUAGGUUGAAGUCGAGGUGUUCGCCUUUGUUGGUGCUGAGAUAAGGGUAACCUCAAUUCUGUCCGAUCCUAGUUGUAGUGGACCCAAAGUAUCUUUAGAAUUGACUCAAGUUGACAUAGUGGGAAAGAUUAACCCAUGGCUCUAUGCGGUUUUUCGAAUCCUGCGAUCAUCGAUAACAACUAACGAUGAGUAGAUAAGGCAAUGGACAACCAUCGAAUCUUGCAAAAUCAGGCAAGUGAUAUGAGGAGUGUUGCACCCGCUAUGGCAAGAAUGACGCCCUAUGCUCUUGCCUCCUUGCUGCAUCCAUUCUCUGGUUAUAGACUCACAGGGGAUCCCAAGGUAUGCACAAAAUCUCUCUCAUGUUCGUUUCUUUCCAUUUGUUUCAGAUUCUUGACUUGAGCGUCUGGUAGAAUCAAUUUUGGUUUGAGACUUAUUUUGCAGGUAGUACCGCCGCUGUCCUGUUAUCACCAUCUAUCUCUAGCCAAGCUGACCUGAGUCAAGAAAUCAAUAGCAAUAGAUUGGCACUAAAAGAAGAGCUAGACCCAUUUUUGGGAAGGAGCAAGAAGCCAAACAUCAUGCUUCUAUACAGAGGAACCUUAUCACAUCGCUCCAAUGCUACAAAUCCUAGGCCGAUCGAAGACUCGGCCAACACCCACACUUAAUCAGAAGCCCCACCUCCACUGCCCCAGUUGGUUGGGGUAGAUCCCGAUCGGUUUAACCUGUUGGUCUAGUAGGUGCCAGAUUUAUCUGUGGCAAUCCAGGUGAUGCAGCAAGCCAGUCCCAGGGCUACGAGAGGUGCCAUCAAUCAGAAUCGCCUCAACCACCCCCGCACAAUCUGAAGCAGAGAAAAUAGGCCCGACACAGUCAACUUGAGAAUCUCGAAUGGAGGAGACGGUCUCCAACUCCCCGAUCUAGUCAAGGCUCUACUCCGGGCCGAUCUCCGUCAUGGCACCUGAAGACCUAUUGUGCCUGAGACGCUGAUGUCGACUAUAGAUUAUAAGAGAUGAAUCAGCAAAUUGAGACACUACAUAAUCAAGUCUCGGCCCAGAAUAGUGGGUUCGGUUUCAAUAUUGACCCACCUUUUAGUGCC